This is an RNA transcript of Vigna angularis (adzuki bean), 1722 nucleotides long. It is a transcript of the gene named protease Do-like 1, chloroplastic, with no coding region annotated. The record is from RefSeq and is a predicted model, not a curated record. The transcript is spliced from 9 exons. Lineage: Eukaryota; Viridiplantae; Streptophyta; Magnoliopsida; Fabales; Fabaceae.
GACAACACUAGAGCAGACCCAAACUGAUCCAACCAUUUAGCAUAAACAGAGACCAUUCCUCUGUCCAAGCAAAAACCAUGGCCACUUGUUCACUCAUUUCCACACGCUUCCAUUCUCCUUCUUCUUCACUCUUUCGUUCUUCAACCAUCAAACCCACCACAACAAUUCACCUUUCCAAAACCCUUCAUCUUCACACUCCCAACCUUUUCCUCCUUCGCCUCCCAUCACCAAAACUCACAAUACCCCUUUUACCCAAACUCUCCAUUCCCAAACCUCUUCUCCUUCUCUGCACUUCCCUCGCCCUCUCCUUCACUCUCCUCGUUUCCAACGCCGACUCCGCCGCCGCCUUCGUCGUCACCUCGCCGCGGAAGCUCCAGUCCGACGAACUCGCCACCGUUCGCCUCUUCCAAGAGAACACUCCCUCUGUUGUCUACAUAACCAACCUUGCUGUCAAGCAGGAUGCAUUCACGCUGGACGUCUUGGAGGUUCCCCAGGGAUCCGGGUCUGGCUUUGUUUGGGAUAAGGAUGGUCAUAUUGUGACCAAUUAUCACGUUAUUCGUGGUGCCUCUGAUCUCAAGGUCACUCUAGCUGACCAGUCAACUUAUGAUGCCAAAGUUGUUGGUUUUGACCAAGACAAGGAUGUUGCUGUGCUGCGUGUCGAGGCACCAAGUGACAAGCUCAGGCCUAUACCUAUUGGGGUCUCUGCUGACUUGCUUGUUGGUCAGAAGGUUUAUGCCAUUGGGAACCCGUUUGGACUAGAUCACACACUCACAACAGGGGUCAUCAGUGGUCUUAGGCGAGAAAUUAGUUCUGCUGCAACCGGUCGUCCAAUUCAAGAUGUUAUUCAGACAGAUGCAGCAAUUAAUCCUGGUAACAGCGGAGGGCCUCUCUUAGAUAGUUCUGGAAACCUCAUUGGGAUAAAUACAGCCAUAUAUUCUCCAUCUGGCGCAUCCUCUGGUGUUGGAUUUUCUAUUCCAGUGGACACUGUAAAUGGUAUUGUUGACCAAUUGGUGAAGUUUGGGAAGGUUACAAGACCUAUUUUAGGGAUUAAGUUUGCUCCAGAUCAGUCUGUGGAGCAGUUGGGUGUAAGUGGAGUGCUUGUGUUAGAUGCUCCUGCCAAUGGUCCUGCUGGGAAAGCAGGCCUGCAAUCAACAAAGCGUGACUCGUAUGGUAGACUCAUUUUAGGUGACAUCAUAACGUCUGUGAAUGACAAGAAGGUUACUAAUGGAAGUGAUUUGUACAGAAUUCUUGACCAGUGUAAAGUAGGUGAAAAGAAAGUCCUGACUCGGUCCUCUUCCAUACAUCACUGAAUCUUGAGUCUUGUUCAGAACAAAUUCUAAUCAAAUGACCUUAUCGAAAGUUCAUGCUGAGUGGGAUACCCAAGGGAAAUCCAGCGUAUAAGACCUAUGUGAUUGUUGAGGUUUUGAGAGGUGAUCACAAGGAGAAGAUCCCUGUCAUUCUGGAGCCAAAACCUGAUGAAUCAUGAUCACAAGGAUUAUGUAUAUAUACAAUUCACAUGCGAUUACCAGAGAGUGAAUGAAGCUGUUUUAUGGGUAUUCUUUAGUUGUUGUAUCUUGCUUCAUAAACAGCUCCAAUUGUACAUAUAUAUAUAUAUACAUACUAUGGAACUGAAAGCUCAUCAUCCUUUAACUUUUUCACUCUUAAACAUAAUAUAAUUUGGCAGUUCUAUUUUGCCCCCAUACAAUUUCAUACAAGGGGUAU